RNAcentral lists this ribosomal RNA (136 nucleotides) under uncultured bacterium. Its description in RNAcentral is "partial 16S ribosomal RNA". It matches the Rfam family "Bacterial small subunit ribosomal RNA", at positions 355 to 509 of the family's 1533-position model. The record is from RNAcentral.
UGGGGAAUAUUGCACAAUGGGGGAAACCCUGAUGCAGCGACGCCGCGUGAAGGAAGAGUAUCUCGGUAUGUAAACUUCUAUCAGCAGGGAAGAUAGUGACGGUACCUGACUAAGAAGCCCCGGCUAACUACGUGCC